RNAcentral lists this ribosomal RNA (395 nucleotides) under uncultured bacterium. RNAcentral describes it as "partial 16S ribosomal RNA". It matches the Rfam family "Bacterial small subunit ribosomal RNA", at positions 338 to 730 of the family's 1533-position model. The record is from RNAcentral.
CCUACGGGUGGCAGCAGUGAGGAAUAUUGGUCAAUGGACGCAAGUCUGAACCAGCCAUGCCGCGUGCAGGAAGACGGCUCUAUGAGUUGUAAACUGCUUUUGUACGAGGGUAAACGCAGAUACGCGUAUCUGUCUGAAAGUAUCGUACGAAUAAGGAUCGGCUAACUCCGUGCCAGCAGCCGCGGUAAUACGGAGGAUUCAAGCGUUAUCCGGAUUUAUUGGGUUUAAAGGGUGCGUAGGCGGUCGGAUAAGUUAGUGGGGAAAGCCUGAGGCUCAACCUUGGAAUUGCCUGUGAAACUGGCAGGCUAGAGAGUAGUAGAGGUAGGCGGAAUGUGUGGUGUAGCGGUGAAAUGCUUAGAGAUCACACAGAACACCGAUUGCGAAGGCAGCUUACC